Molecule: small RNA, 180 nt
Filed under: Citrobacter youngae
Lineage: Bacteria; Pseudomonadati; Pseudomonadota; Gammaproteobacteria; Enterobacterales; Enterobacteriaceae
Description: rncO
Rfam family: rncO
About the family: This family represents a bacterial regulatory element (rncO) found in the rnc leader sequence. The rnc operon is negatively auto-regulated by transcript stability. rnc, the first gene in the operon codes for RNase III which cleaves the long rncO stem II leading to transcript degradation and a reduction in translation.
Source: RNAcentral
AAGUUUUAGGUUGGCACCGUCAGGUUGCCACGGCACACGAAACAGCGUUGGUUUCUCUAAUGACGGAUGUAUAUCAGGUCUGUUUCGUGUGCUGAAUUGUUGACGCAUUCAUUUAUUGGUAUCGCAUGAAUCCCAUCGUAAUUAAUCGGCUUCAACGGAAGCUGGGCUACACUUUUAAUC